AAACUGAAGAGUAUGAUCAUGGCUCAGAUUGAACGUUGGCGGCAGGCCUCAUACAUGCAAGUCGAACGCGAAAGGCCCUUCGGGGCUGAGUAGAGUGGCGAACGGGUGAGUAACGCGUAGGAAUCUACCCGGCAGUGGGGGACAACUCGGGGAAACUCGAGCUAAUACCGCAUGUGAUCGCCGGCAUUCGUGCCGGCGAUGAAAGCGGGGGAUCUCACCGUCGCGACUUCGGUUGCGGCGGAAGGACCUCGCGCUGUCGGAGGAGCCUGCGUUGGAUUAGCUUGUUGGUGGGGUAAUGGCCCACCAAGGCGACGAUCCAUAGCUGGUCUGAGAGGACGAUCAGCCACACUGGGACUGAGACACGGCCCAGACGGCUACGGUCGGCAGCAGUAGGGAAUAUUGCACAAUGGGCGAAAGCCUGAUGCAGCCAUGCCGCGUGUGUGAAGAAGGCCUUAGGGUUGUAAAGCACUUUCAGUGGCGAAGAAAAAGCCGGCGUUAAUACCGCCGGCCAUUGACGUUAACCACAGAAGAAGCACCGGCCAACUCCGUGCCAGCAGCCGCGGUAAUACGGAGGGUGCGAACGUUAAUCGGAAUUACUGGGCGUAAAGCGCGCGUAGGCGGUUUGUUAAGUGAGAUGUGAAAGCCCCGGGCUCAACCUGGGAACUGCGUUUCAAACUGGCAAACUAGAGUUCAGUAGAGGGAGGUGGAAUUUCCUGUGUAGCGGUGGAAUGCGUAGAUAUAGGAAGGAACACCAGUGGCGAAGGCGGCCUCCUGGACUGAAACUGACGCUCAUGUGCGAAAGCGUGGGGAGCAAACAGGAUUAGAUACCCUGGUAGUCCACGCCGUAAACGAUGAGAACUAGCCGUUUGGCCCCUCGAGGGCUUAGUGGCGCAGCUAACGCGAUAAGUUCUCCGCCUGGGGAGUACGGCCGCAAGGUUAAAACUCAAAUGAAUUGACGGGGGCCCGCACAAGCGGUGGAGCAUGCUGUUCAAUUAGAGGCAACGCUAAGAACCUUACCACCAUUUGACAUCCACGGAACUUUCCAGAGAUGGAUUGGUGCCUUCGGGAACCGUGUGACAGGUGCUGCAUGGCUGUCGUCAGCUCGUGUCGUGAGAUGUUGGGUUAAGUCCCGCAACGAGCGCAACCC
RNAcentral lists this ribosomal RNA (1147 nucleotides) under Gammaproteobacteria bacterium. Its description in RNAcentral is "bacterial SSU rRNA". It matches the Rfam family "Bacterial small subunit ribosomal RNA", at positions 1 to 1104 of the family's 1533-position model. The record is from RNAcentral. Lineage: Bacteria; Pseudomonadati; Pseudomonadota; Gammaproteobacteria.